UUGGGGGAUAUUUUCAAGGCAAAUGGUUCUCUUCUUAUUGGCCUGUUAAUUUACCUACUUUAACUGAAAAUUCGUCUAUGGCGUUCCUUGAGUUAUACCCUAUUGUAGUAGCAGCAUUGUUAUGGGGCCACCUCUGGCCCUGUAAAAAGAUAUUAUUUUGGUGUGAUAAUGAAGCUACUGUUGCUAUUGUCAGAAAGGGACGCUCUAAAUGUUUAGAAAUUAUGAAACUUAUGCGUCAAUU
RNAcentral lists this long non-coding RNA (241 nucleotides) under Mytilus galloprovincialis (Mediterranean mussel). The record is from RNAcentral. Lineage: Eukaryota; Metazoa; Mollusca; Bivalvia; Mytilida; Mytilidae.